This 812-nucleotide ribosomal RNA is filed under the name uncultured organism. RNAcentral's name for it is "SSU rRNA". It matches the Rfam family "Bacterial small subunit ribosomal RNA", at positions 645 to 1468 of the family's 1533-position model. The record is from RNAcentral.
AGUACACAAGAGGCAGGCGGAAUGCGUGGGUGUAGCGGUGAAAUGCAUAGAUAUCACGCAGAACCCCGAUUGCGAAGGCAGCUUGCUAGGGUGAAACAGACGCUGAGGCACGAAAGCGUGGGUAUCGAACAGGAUUAGAUACCGUGGUAGUCCACGCAGUAAACGAUGAAUACUAACUGUUUGUGAUACAAUGUAAGCGGUACAGCGAAAGCGUUAAGUAGUCCACCUGGGGAGUACGCCGGCAACGGUGAAACUCAAAGGAAUUGACGGGGGCCCGCACAAGCGGAGGAACAUGUGGUUUAAUUCGAUGAUACGCGAGGAACCUUACCCGGGCUCAAACGCAGGGGGAAUAUAUAUGAAAGUAUAUAGCUAGCAAUAGUCACCUGCGAGGUGCUGCAUGGUUGUCGUCAGCUCGUGCCGUGAGGUGUCGGCUUAAGUGCCAUAACGAGCGCAACCCCUAUCGACAGUUACUAACGGGUCAAGCCGAGGACUCUGUCGAGACUGCCGGCGCAAGCCGCGAGGAAGGUGGGGAUGACGUCAAAUCAGCACGGCCCUUACGUCCGGGGCGACACACGUGUUACAAUGGCAGGUACAGAAGGCAGCCAGUCAGCAAUGACGCGCGAAUCCCGAAAACCUGUCUCAGUUCGGAUUGGAGUCUGCAACCCGACUCCAUGAAGCUGGAUUCGCUAGUAAUCGCGCAUCAGCCAUGGCGCGGUGAAUACGUUCCCGGGCCUUGUACACACCGCCCGUCAAGCCAUGGAAGCCGGGAGUACCUGAAGCAUGCAACCGCAAGGAGCGUACGAAGGUAAUAC